This 264-nucleotide signal recognition particle RNA is filed under the name Peptoniphilus sp. oral taxon 386 str. F0131. RNAcentral's name for it is "Bacterial large signal recognition particle RNA". It matches the Rfam family "Bacterial large signal recognition particle RNA". From Rfam's summary of the family: The signal recognition particle (SRP) is a universally conserved ribonucleoprotein involved in the co-translational targeting of proteins to membranes. Archaeal SRP consists of a 7S RNA and homologues of the eukaryotic SRP19 and SRP54 proteins. The record is from Rfam by way of RNAcentral. Lineage: Bacteria; Bacillati; Bacillota; Tissierellia; Tissierellales; Peptoniphilaceae.
CCAUGAUAGAUGGGGAAUUAGCGAUGCCCUGUAACCUGCAAUCGCUACAGCAGGAUUGAAUUCCCAUCGGAGGACUUAAAUUGUGCAGCCUGCCCCAAGUGUGUGGCGUUGAUAAUAGGGUCCUGCGCAACGUAUGCUUGUGAACCGUGUCAGGUCUUGACGGAAGCAGCACUAAGCAAGAUUUUAUGUGUGCCGCAGGGGUGCCUUAUUUGAGUUAACUGCUUGGGUACCGUGUGUAGUUUAAUUUCGAUGAUGGGUUCAUGG